CAGAGUAGGAAUAUCAGCGUUAAGUGACUUUAGAACGGGGAGUUGUCUUUAGUACGAAGCGUAAGCGCGGUUGAUAUUCCGCAUCCCGCU
Molecule: non-coding RNA, 90 nt
Filed under: bovine gut metagenome
Description: THF riboswitch
Rfam family: THF (Tetrahydrofolate) riboswitch aptamer
About the family: THF riboswitch presents a pseudoknot that joins P1-P2 and the loop of P3 and two THF binding.
Source: RNAcentral